GGAGGGUGCAAGCGUUGUUCGGAAUCACUGGGCGUAAAGGGCGUGUAGGCGGCCGGCUAAGUCUGAUGUGAAAGCCCGGGGCUCACCCCCGGAAGGGCAUUGGAUACUGGCAGGCUCGAGUCCCGGAGAGGAGGGUGGAAUUCCUGGUGUAGCGGUGAAAUGCGUAGAUAUCAGGAGGAACACCGGUGGCGAAGGCGUCCCUCUGGACGGUGACUGACGCUGAGACGCGAAAGCGUGGGGAGCAAACAGGAUUAGAUACCCUGGUAGUCCACGCUGUAAACGAUGAGCACUAGGUGUCGUGGGUAUUGACCCCCGCGGUGCCGUAGCUAACGCAUUAAGUGCUCCGCCUGGGGACUACGGCCGCAAGGUUAAA
RNAcentral lists this ribosomal RNA (373 nucleotides) under uncultured bacterium. Its description in RNAcentral is "bacterial SSU rRNA". It matches the Rfam family "Bacterial small subunit ribosomal RNA", at positions 527 to 898 of the family's 1533-position model. The record is from RNAcentral.